AUUGAACGCUGGCGGCAGGCCUAACACAUGCAAGUCGAGCGGCAGCGGAAGGAAGCUUGCUUCCUUGCCGGCGAGCGGCGGACGGGUGAGUAAGGUAUGGGGAUCUGGCCGAAGGCGGGGGAUAACCACUGGAAACGGUGGCUAAUACCGCAUAAUCUCUAAGGAGCAAAGUGGGGGACCGUUCAGGCCUCACACCUUCGGAUGAACCCAUAUGAGAUUAGCUAGUAGGUGGGGUAAUGGCUCACCUAGGCGACGAUCUCUAGCUGGUCUGAGAGGAUGAUCAGCCACACUGGGACUGAGACACGGCCCAGACUCCUACGGGAGGCAGCAGUGGGGAAUAUUGCACAAUGGGCGCAAGCCUGAUGCAGCCAUGCCGCGUGUAUGAAGAAGGCCUUCGGGUUGUAAAGUACUUUCAGUCGUGAGGAAGGUGUUAAGGUUAAUAACCUUAGCAAUUGACGUUAACGACAGAAGAAGCACCGGCUAACUCCGUGCCAGCAGCCGCCGUAA
Molecule: ribosomal RNA, 507 nt
Filed under: uncultured bacterium
Lineage: Bacteria
Description: partial 16S ribosomal RNA
Rfam family: Bacterial small subunit ribosomal RNA
Source: RNAcentral